Molecule: long non-coding RNA, 1863 nt
Filed under: Malus domestica (apple)
Lineage: Eukaryota; Viridiplantae; Streptophyta; Magnoliopsida; Rosales; Rosaceae
Description: long non-coding RNA (MDOM_LNC013297)
Source: RNAcentral
UAUAUGUUAUUUCCCUAAAGUUUGAAUGGUUUUGGGAUGUUUUUGGAGUAAAAAUGUUCAUGGAAAUUUUUUGGGUUUUUCAUGAAUGUUCUUCAUUGUUCUUGACAUUUUUGCCAAGAACAAAAAAGUUUUGUGUUUUGAUUCAAAGUUUUGAUUUAUUUCAUAAAGUUUAUGUUUUAUGCUUAUCAAAUGAUUUAAUGUGUUAGAUAUUUGUGUAAAUGGUGGUAGAAAUAAUGGUGGGUGUGAAAGGAUUAAUUCCCUUUCACACACACCACUUGCACCACUUGCAUGCUUUAUGUCAAAACUCACAAAUCAACACACACAUCACUCCUUUUCCUUCUCCAAAACCGGCCCUCCCUCAAGUGGGAGUACUUUUGCGGCUUUUAUGCAAUUACAUAAAGUUUUGAUACUUUUGUGUAUUUGCACUUUGGCCCAAAAGUUUACGUUUUUACGUUUAGGUCCAAAAACGCUAAAGGACAAAUUGUUUUGCUCCUUUAAUGAAGCUUUUGCAUUAUUAAAAGUUUGGGUUCUAGUUGUAAUUACAUGAAGUAGUGGACUUUUGUGUUUUUACAAAGUGACCCCAAAAGUUUUGCAAUAUAGCCCAAAAGUUGAGGUUAAUUGCUUUAUGGCCCAAAUAAGUUGUGGUUAUUGCAUAUUGGCCCAAAUUAGGUAGAGAACAAAAUUGUUUGUCUCUUUAAAUGAGAAUUGGAUUUUCAUUUCAUUUAUCUCCAUUUAAAUCAAUCUUAUGGAUACAAAAACCAAAUGAAAAUGUUGCAUUCAAUUUAAUUAGUUAAAGUGUUAAUUAAUUAAAGGGUGAUUUUGAACCUAAGCCUACGAUAAUUGAGCUAUGUGAAAGGCCGUUUCAAAUUUGUUUGAACCAUGGGAAUGUGUAGAUUAGAUUUUGGUUGUAAUUUGAUUUGAUCAAAUGUUGUAAAAGAGCAUAAGCUCUUCUUUACUUUAAAGUAAUUUGUUUUAUUCAAAUGUUGUAAAGAGCAUAAGCUCUUCUUUACUUUGAAGUACUCCUUUUCUUGUUUUAUUUGAUAAGCAUGAAAAUGGAGUAGAGGGUCCAACGCCCCUAGGAACAACACGCCUUAAUGUGAUUAAACGCGUAACUAAAAUCAAUCACCAUCCCUAGACCGAGAUUCAACACUAGGCUCGUGUUGAAGGAAAAAUUUUGUCCUAGCUAAGAACAAGUAUGAACAUUUGAAUACACAUGCAAGCUAUUAACACUUUAAAGUAGGCAUGCAUUCAAAAACAAUUCAUAAAACCCAUGACUUUCAAAGCCUAGUAUAUGGUGAACCAAAAAUAAAACUCUUUAACAACAUUAAAGAGAAGUAAAGAUUAAGUGAUUCUUUACCCUUGAAGCUCAUCCUUGAUUACACAAGGGAUUCACCCAAGUGGAGGGCCUUCAAGUCACCUCCAAGCUCCUUGAAUCCUCCUUGUGUUUUCCUCCCUUUAGUGCUCCUUUGAUGAUUUGAGGAAAAAGGAUUUGUUCUCCAAAACACCAAAAGCUUGAUGUCUCUAAGUCUCUUCACCAAGGUUGUAUCUUGUGAAGAUGAAUGGGAUGACUUAGAAAGAUUUUAGAUGCUAGUAAAAAUCCUCUAAGUGGCCGGCCUCUAUGUAGAAAAUGAGAGAAAAUGUUUCACCCAAUUUCUAUUAGAAAACCCUAAUUAGAAACAAAGCUAUAAAGAUGACUUUAUACUUCAUCUCUUAGGUUAGUGGCAAACUUGCAAUUAAGCAAAAAUUCCCACUACCCUUGCUAUGGCCGGCCUCCUUUUGUUAUUGGGCUUAAUACCCAUAUUUGUUUUAGUUGUCAUACAACUUAAACAUAAUGGGCCUAGUGGACCAAAACAAUUUUGGACC